CGUGGCCGAGUGGUCUAAGGCGCUGCAUUUAGGCUGCAGUCUUCGUUGGCGGGGGUUCGAAUCCCCCCG
Molecule: transfer RNA, 69 nt
Filed under: Ochromonas sp. RCC21
Lineage: Eukaryota; Chrysophyceae; Chromulinales; Chromulinaceae
Rfam family: tRNA
About the family: Transfer RNA (tRNA) molecules are approximately 80 nucleotides in length.
Source: RNAcentral